GAUGAACGCUGGCGGCGUGCUUAACACAUGCAAGUCGAACGGAAAGGCCGAAGCUUGCUUCGGUACUCGAGUGGCGAACGGGUGAGUAACACGUGGGUGAUCUGCCCUGUACUUCGGGAUAAGCUUGGGAAACUGGGUCUAAUACCGGAUAUGACAAUCUCUUGGAUGGGGUUGUGGAAAGCUUUUGCGGUAUGGGAUGAGCUCGCGGCCUAUCAGCUUGUUGGUGGGGUAAUGGCCUACCAAGGCGUCGACGGGUAGCCGGCCUGAGAGGGUGUACAGCCACAUUGGGACUGAGAUACGGCCCAGACUCCUACGGGAGGCAGCAGUGGGGAAUAUUGCACAAUGGGCGCAAGCCUGAUGCAGCGACGCCGCGUGGGGGAUGACGGCCUUCGGGUUGUAAACUCCUUUCGCAACCGACGAAGCUUUUGUGACGGUAGGUUGAGAAGAAGCACCGGCUAACUACGUG
RNAcentral lists this ribosomal RNA (466 nucleotides) under uncultured bacterium. Its description in RNAcentral is "partial 16S ribosomal RNA". It matches the Rfam family "Bacterial small subunit ribosomal RNA", at positions 28 to 507 of the family's 1533-position model. The record is from RNAcentral.